Molecule: ribosomal RNA, 253 nt
Filed under: uncultured bacterium
Lineage: Bacteria
Description: partial 16S ribosomal RNA
Rfam family: Bacterial small subunit ribosomal RNA
Source: RNAcentral
GACAGAGGCCCCGAGCGUUAGUCGGAAUCACUGGGCUUAAAGGGUGCGUAGGCGGGCAGGUAAGUCCGUGGUGAAAUCUCUGAGCUUAACUCAGAAACUGCCAUGGAUACUAUCUGUCUUGAAUAUUGUGGAGGUAAGCGGAAUAUGUCAUGUAGCGGUGAAAUGCUUAGAUAUGACAUAGAACACCAAUUGCGAAGGCAGCUUACUACACAGUUAUUGACGCUGAGGCACGAAAGCGUGGGGAUCAAACAGG